UAAAGCAUCCGUAGCCGGCUGUUCAAGUUUCCGGUUAAAUCCACACGCUUAACGUAUGGGCUGCCGGAAAUACUGUUCAGCUAGGGAGUGGGAGGAGUAGACGGUACUCGAUAGGAAGGGGUAAAAUCCUUUGAUCUAUUGAUGACCACCUGUGGCGAAGGCGGUCUACCAGAACACGUUCGACGGUGAGGGAUGAAAGCUGGGGGAGCAAACCGGAUUAGAUACCCGGGUAGUCCCAGCUGUAAACGAUGCAGACUCGGUGAUGCAUUGGCUUGUGGCCAGUGCAGUGCCGCAGGGAAGCCGUUAAGUUUGCCGCCUGGGAAGUACGUACGCAAGUAUGAAACUUAAAGGAAUUGGCGGGGGAGCACCACAAGGAGUGAAGCCUGCGGUUCAAUUGGAGUCAACGCCAGAAAUCUUACCCGGGGAGACAGCAGAAUGAAGGUCAAGCUGAAGACUUUACCAGACAAGCUGAGAGGUGGUGCAUGGCCGUCGCCAGCUCGUGCCGUGAGAUGUCCUGUUAAGUCAGGUAACGAGCGAGACCCUUGCCUCUAGUUGCCACCAUUACCCUCUGGAGUAGUGGGGCGAAUUAGAGGGACCGCCACAGUUAAUGUGGAGGAAGGAGAGGGCCACGGCAGGUCAGUAUGCCCCGAAACCCUGGGGCUACACGCGGGCUGCAAUGGUAGCGACAAUGUGUUUCGAACCCUAAAGGGGGAGGCAAUCAUUAAACGCUACCUCAGUCGUGACUGAGGGCUGCAACUCGCCCUCACGAAUAUGGAAUCCCUAGUAACUGCGCGUCACUACCGCGCGGUGAAUACGUCCCUGCUCCUUGCACACACCGCCCGUCGUUUCAUUGAAGUUGGCUUUUAGCGAGGUGACGUCUUGUUG
Molecule: ribosomal RNA, 885 nt
Filed under: uncultured archaeon
Lineage: Archaea
Description: bacterial SSU rRNA
Rfam family: Archaeal small subunit ribosomal RNA
Source: RNAcentral